AAUCAACGCUGGCGGCGUGCCUCAGACAUGCAAGUCGAACGAUUAAAGCUCUCUUCGGAGAGUGCAUAGAGUGGCGCACGGGUGAGUAACACGUAAGUAAUCUACCUUCGAGUGGGGAAUAACGUCCGGAAACGGACGCUAAUACCGCAUAAUGCAGCGGCAUCGCAAGAUGACAGUUGUUAAAGAUUUAUCGCUUGAAGAGGAGCUUGCGGCAGAUUAGCUAGUUGGUAAGGUAAUGGCUUACCAAGGCUACGAUCUGUAACCGGUCUUAGAGGACGGUCGGUCACACUGACACUGAAUAACGGGUCAGACUCCUACGGGAGGCAGCAGUCGGGAAUUUUGGGCAAUGGGCGAAAGCCUGACCCAGCAACGCCGCGUGAAGGAUGAAGUAUUUCGGUAUGUAAACUUCGAAAGAAUGGGAAGAAUCAAUGACGGUACCAUUUAUAAGGUCCGGCUAACUACGUGCCAGCAGCCGCAGUAA
This 481-nucleotide ribosomal RNA is filed under the name uncultured bacterium. RNAcentral's name for it is "partial 16S ribosomal RNA". It matches the Rfam family "Bacterial small subunit ribosomal RNA", at positions 32 to 523 of the family's 1533-position model. The record is from RNAcentral.